This 401-nucleotide long non-coding RNA is filed under the name Oryza brachyantha (malo sina). Its description in RNAcentral is "long non-coding RNA (OBRA_LNC003536)". The record is from RNAcentral. Lineage: Eukaryota; Viridiplantae; Streptophyta; Magnoliopsida; Poales; Poaceae.
UUAGCAUAUAGUUGAUAUGUACAAGGAACUAGUCACCUAUCCGCUUUCUUGAUUCUUUAGGAUAGUGCUAUGGGAGAAGGUAGUACCUCUUAGCCGGGGCAGGCGUGCAACCUGAUGUGCCCAUCUCAUUUAUUCACUGUCUACUAUUACUCUUGUUCAGAGUACAGUACUUUAAGUUUCCUCACUCCUGUAGAUCAAGAAUGCUCCGACCAAAGUUCCUCAAUGAGGCGAGGGUUGCCUAUUAGACUGGAAGACCAAAGGAAAGCGGAAAAACAAUAAUCAAGCAAGGGAAGAAUCUAUAUACUACUCUCAGGAAUAUGCAAGCCCAAUAUUAAGUAGUAGUAGUUGUUUUUUCACUCUAGAUCGCUUUGAUCGGCUCGCUGCUAUCGCUCGCUCCUUAC